RNAcentral lists this ribosomal RNA (253 nucleotides) under uncultured bacterium. Its description in RNAcentral is "partial 16S ribosomal RNA". It matches the Rfam family "Bacterial small subunit ribosomal RNA", at positions 524 to 776 of the family's 1533-position model. The record is from RNAcentral.
UACGAAGGUGGCAAGCGUUGUUCGGAUUUACUGGGCGUAAAGGGAGCGUAGGUGGUGCGGUAAGCCCUCCGGGAAAGCUUCAGGCUUAACCUGAAAAGGUCGGGGGGGACUGCCGCGCUAGAGGACGGGAGAGGAGCGCGGAAUUCCCGGUGUAGAGGUGAAAUUCGUAGAUAUUGGGAAGAACACCGGUGGCGAAGGCGGCGACCUGGUCCAUUACUGACGCUGAGGCGCGACAGCGUGGGGAGCAAACAGG